Molecule: ribosomal RNA, 253 nt
Filed under: uncultured bacterium
Lineage: Bacteria
Description: partial 16S ribosomal RNA
Rfam family: Bacterial small subunit ribosomal RNA
Source: RNAcentral
UACGUAGGGUGCGAGCUUUAAUCGGAAUUACUGGGCGUAAAGCGUGCGCAGGCGGUUUUGUAAGCCAGGUGUGAAAUCCCCGGGCUUAACCUGGGAAUGGCAUUUGGGACUGCAAGGCUGGAGUUUGGCAGAGGAGACUGGAAUUCCUGGUGUAGCAGUGAAAUGCGUAGAUAUCAGGAGGAACACCGAUGGCGAAGGCAGGUCUCUGGGCUGAAACUGACGCUCAUGCACGAAAGCGUGGGGAGCAAACAGG